RNAcentral lists this unclassified non-coding RNA (267 nucleotides) under Hevea brasiliensis (rubber tree). The record is from RNAcentral. Lineage: Eukaryota; Viridiplantae; Streptophyta; Magnoliopsida; Malpighiales; Euphorbiaceae.
CUUGUCUGCAUGUACCAAGGGAGAACUCUUUGACAUGGGCUUGCAAUAUAUUCAGUGCUGGAAACAGGAAGCGACUGCAGAUAAAUAUAGGAGCAGAGAAAUGGACAAAACCGAGAAAGAGUUUUUGGAGAACUGUGCUUUUCAUUAUCACAAGCUAAAUGAUAACAGAGCCAUGAUGAGAUAUGUUAGAGCGUUUAAUUCCAUGGAUGCAAUUCGAACUUUCUUGAAUGCUUAGGAUGCUUUGAUGAGCUUUUGUCACUGGAAGAA